AUUGAACGCUGGCGGCAGGCCUAACACAGGUGCAAGUCGAGCGGUAACACAAGGGAGCUUGCUCCUGAGGUGACGAGCGGCGGACGGGUGAGUAAUGCCUAGGUAUCUGCCCAGUCGAGGGGGAUAACAGUUGGAAACGACUGCUAAUACCGCAUACGCCCUACGGGGGAAAGGAGGGGACCUUCGGGCCUUCCGCGAUUGGAUGAACCUAGGUGGGAUUAGCUAGUUGGUGAGGUAAUGGCUCACCAAGGCGACGAUCCCUAGCUGGUCUGAGAGGAUGAUCAGCCACACUGGAACUGAGACACGGUCCAGACUCCUACGGGAGGCAGCAGUGGGGAAUAUUGCACAAUGGGCGAAAGCCUGAUGCAGCCAUGCCGCGUGUGUGAAGAAGGCCUUCGGGUUGUAAAGCACUUUCAGCGAGGAGGAAAGGUUAGUGAUUAAUACUCACUAGCUGUGACGUUACUCGCAGAAGAAGCACCGGCUAACUUCGUGCCAGCAGCCGCGGUAAUACGAGGGGUGCAAGCGUUAAUCGGAAUUACUGGGCGUAAAGCGUACGCAGGCGGUUUGUUAAGCGAGAUGUGAAAGCCCCGGGCUCAACCUGGGAACUGCAUUUCGAACUGGCAAACUAGAGUCUUGUAGAGGGGGGUAGAAUUUCAGGUGUAGCGGUGAAAUGCGUAGAGAUCUGAAGGAAUACCGGUGGCGAAGGCGGCCCCCUGGACAAAGACUGACGCUCAGGUACGAAAGCGUGGGGAGCAA
RNAcentral lists this ribosomal RNA (756 nucleotides) under uncultured Shewanella sp. RNAcentral describes it as "bacterial SSU rRNA". It matches the Rfam family "Bacterial small subunit ribosomal RNA", at positions 28 to 771 of the family's 1533-position model. Lineage: Bacteria; Pseudomonadati; Pseudomonadota; Gammaproteobacteria; Alteromonadales; Shewanellaceae. The record is from RNAcentral.